RNAcentral lists this ribosomal RNA (253 nucleotides) under uncultured bacterium. RNAcentral describes it as "partial 16S ribosomal RNA". It matches the Rfam family "Bacterial small subunit ribosomal RNA", at positions 524 to 776 of the family's 1533-position model. The record is from RNAcentral.
UACGAAGGGGGCUAGCGUUGUUCGGAAUUACUGGGCGUAAAGCGCGUGUAGGCGGGUCUUUAAGUCAGGGGUGAAAUGCCAAGGCUCAACCUUGGAACUGCCUUCGAUACUGGAGACCUUGAGUCCGGGAGAGGUGAGUGGAAUUGCGAGUGUAGAGGUGAAAUUCGUAGAUAUUCGCAAGAACACCAGUGGCGAAGGCGGCUCACUGGCCCGGAACUGACGCUGAGAUGCGAAAGCGUGGGGAGCAAACAGG